This 236-nucleotide long non-coding RNA is filed under the name Homo sapiens (human). RNAcentral's name for it is "non-protein coding lnc-BEX5-1:1". The record is from RNAcentral. Lineage: Eukaryota; Metazoa; Chordata; Mammalia; Primates; Hominidae.
CAAUAAAAAUGAAGGAAACCUGGAAAACGAGGGAAAGCCAGAAGAUGAAGUAGAGCCUGAUGAUGAAGGAAAGUCAGACGAGGAAGAAAAGCCAGACGCGGAGGGGAAGACAGAAUGCGAGGGAAAGCGAAAGGCUGAGGGAGAGCCAGGUGAUGAGGGACAACUGGAAGAUAAGGGAAGCCAGGAAAAGCAGGGCAAGUCCGAAGGUGAGGGCAAGCCACAAGGCGAGGGCAAGC